UACGUAGGGGGCAAGCGUUGUCCGGAUUUAUUGGGCGUAAAGAGCGUGUAGGCGGCCAGACAGGUCAGCUGUGAAAACUCGAGGCUCAACCUCGAGACGUCGGUUGAAACCGUCUGGCUAGAGUCCGGAAGAGGAGAGUGGAAUUCCCGGUGUAGCGGUGAAAUGCGCAGAUAUCGGGAAGAACACCCGUGGCGAAGGCGGCUCUCUGGAACGCAACUGACGCUGAGACGCGAAAGCGUGGGGAGCAAACAGG
This 253-nucleotide ribosomal RNA is filed under the name uncultured bacterium. Its description in RNAcentral is "partial 16S ribosomal RNA". It matches the Rfam family "Bacterial small subunit ribosomal RNA", at positions 524 to 776 of the family's 1533-position model. The record is from RNAcentral.